AUUGAACGCUAGCGGCAGGCCUAACACAUGCAAGUCGAACGAGUGGCGGACGGGUGAGUAAUGUCUCGGAAUGUGCCUGCUGGAGGGGGAUCACUAAUGGAAACGGUAGCUAAUACCGCAUACCAUAGGCUGUGCCCAGAUGGGCUUAGCUGGUUGGUGGGGUAAAGGCUCACCAAGGCAACGAUCCCUAACUGGGUUGAGAGGAGGACCAGCAACACUGGAAUUGAGACACGGUCCAGACUCAUACGGGAGGCAGCAGUGGGGAAUAUUGGACAAUGGGCGAAAGCCUGAUGCAGCCAUGCCGCGUGUAUGAAGAAGGCCUUCGGGUUGUAAAGUACUUUAGGCGGGGAUGCGUUACCCGCAGAAUAAGCACCGGCUAACUCCGUGCCAGCAGCCGCGGUAAUAC
Molecule: ribosomal RNA, 406 nt
Filed under: uncultured bacterium
Lineage: Bacteria
Description: partial 16S ribosomal RNA
Rfam family: Bacterial small subunit ribosomal RNA
Source: RNAcentral